GGUCCUGUAGCUCAAUGGUAGAGCAUCCGGCUCUUAACCGGGUGGUUGGAGGUUCGAGCCCUCCCAGGAUCACAA
RNAcentral lists this transfer RNA (75 nucleotides) under Candidatus Shapirobacteria bacterium CG_4_10_14_0_8_um_filter_39_15. RNAcentral's name for it is "tRNA-Lys". It matches the Rfam family "tRNA". Rfam says of the family: Transfer RNA (tRNA) molecules are approximately 80 nucleotides in length. RNAcentral also lists the same sequence under 2 other names. The record is from RNAcentral. Lineage: Bacteria; Candidatus Shapironibacteriota.